Papio anubis (olive baboon) is the source of this 106-nucleotide small nuclear RNA. Lineage: Eukaryota; Metazoa; Chordata; Mammalia; Primates; Cercopithecidae. The record is from Ensembl.
GUGCUUGCUUCGGAGCACAUACACUAAAAUUGGAACGCUACAGAGAAGAUUAGCAUGGCCCCCGCAGGAGGAUGACAUGCAAAUCUGUGAAGCAUUCCAUUUUUUU